CUCGGUGUAUGGGCACAGUACCUCCAUAACACCUUUCAUUAAUAGAGGUGUUCUCAGGGCUGCCAACCUAACAGUACAGGUUGUCAUAGUAUAUCUCUCCUGUAUUU
This 107-nucleotide small nucleolar RNA is filed under the name Octodon degus (degu). RNAcentral describes it as "Small nucleolar RNA U109 (ENSODEG00000024757.1)". It matches the Rfam family "Small nucleolar RNA U109". The record is from RNAcentral. Lineage: Eukaryota; Metazoa; Chordata; Mammalia; Rodentia; Octodontidae.